CCUACGGGGGGCUGCAGUGGGGAAUAUUGGACAAUGGGCGAAAGCCUGAUCCAGCCAUGCCGCGUGUGUGAAGAAGGCCUUCGGGUUGUAAAGCACUUUCAGUGGGGAAGAAAGCCUUGGGGCUAAUACCCUCGAGGAAGGACAUCACCCACAGAAGAAGCACCGGCUAACUCCGUGCCAGCAGCCGCGGUAAUACGGAGGGUGCGAGCGUUAAUCGGAAUUACUGGGCGUAAAGCGCGCGUAGGCGGUCUGAUAAGCCGGUUGUGAAAGCCCCGGGCUCAACCUGGGAACGGCAUCCGGAACUGUCAGGCUAGAGUACAGGAGAGGAAGGUAGAAUUCCUGGUGUAGCGGUGAAAUGCGUAGAGAUCGGGAGGAAUACCAGUGGCGAAGGCGGCCUUCUGGACUGACACUGACGCUGAGGUGCGAAAGCGUGGGUAGCAAACAGGAUUAGAUACCCGAGUAGUC
Molecule: ribosomal RNA, 465 nt
Filed under: Vreelandella stevensii
Lineage: Bacteria; Pseudomonadati; Pseudomonadota; Gammaproteobacteria; Oceanospirillales; Halomonadaceae
Description: partial 16S ribosomal RNA
Rfam family: Bacterial small subunit ribosomal RNA
Source: RNAcentral